This 1493-nucleotide long non-coding RNA is filed under the name Salmo salar (Atlantic salmon). RNAcentral's name for it is "lncRNA (ENSSSAG00000118364.1)". The record is from RNAcentral. Lineage: Eukaryota; Metazoa; Chordata; Actinopteri; Salmoniformes; Salmonidae.
UCAAUGUGGAGGCUAUAUACAGGGGGUACCGGUACAGAGUCAAUGAGGAGGCUAUAUACAGGGGGUACCGGUACAGAGUCAAUAUGGAGGCUAUAUACAGGGGGGUACCGGUACAGAGUCAAUGUGGAGGCUAUAUACAGGGGGUACCAGUACAGAGUCAAUGUGGAAGCUAUAUACAGUGGGUACCGGUACAGAGUCAAUGUGGAGGCUAUAUACAGGGGGUACCGGUACAGAGUCAAUGUGGAGGCUAUAUACAGGGGGGUACCGGUACAGAGUCAAUGUGGAGGCUAUGGGGGUACCGGUACAGCGUCAAUGGGGAGGCUAUAUACAGGGGGUACCGGUACAGAGUCAAUGUGGAGGCUAUAUACAGGGGGUACCGGUACAGAGUCAAUGUGGAGGCUAUAUACAGGGGGUAUCGGUACAGAUUCAAUGUGCGGGGGCACCGGUUAGUCGAGGUAAUAUGUACAUGUAGGUAGAGUUAUUAAAGUGACUAUGCAUAGAUAAUAACAGAGUAGCAGCAGCUUAAAAUGGGGAGGCAAUGCAAAUAGUCUGGGUAGCCAUUUGAUUAGAUGUUCAGGAGUCUUAUGGCUUGGGGGUAGAAGCUGUUUAGAAGCCUCUUGGACCUAGCCUUGGUUCCCCCGGCACCGCUUGCCGUGGGGUAGCAGAGAGAACAAUCUAAGACUAGGGUGGCUGGAGUCUUGGACAAUUUUUAGGGCUGACACCGCCUGGUAUAGAGGUCCUGGAUGGCAAGAAGCUUGGCCCCAGUGAUGUACUGGGCCGUACGCACUACUCUCUGUAGUGCCUUGCGGUCGGAGUCCGAGCAGUUGCCAUAACAGGCAGUGAUGCAACCAGUCAGGAUGUUCUCGAUGGUGCAGCUGUAGAACCUUUUGAGAAUCUGAGGACCCAUGCAAAAUCUUUUCAGUCUCCUGAGGGGGAAUAGGUUUUGACGUGCCCGCUUCACGACUGUCAUGGUGUGUUUGGACCAUGUUAGUUUGUAGGUGAUGUGGACACCAGGGAACUUGAAGCUCUCAACCUGCUCCACUACAGCCCUGUCGAUGAGAAUGGGGGCGUGCUCAGUCCUCCUUUUCCUGUAGUCCACAAUCAUCUCCUUUGUCUUGAUCACUUUGAGGGAGAGGUUGUUGUCCUUACACCACCCGGCCAGGUCUCUGACCUCCUCCCUAUAGGCUGUCUCAUCGUUGUCGGUGAUCAGGCCUACAACUGUUGUGUCAUCAGCAAACUUAAUGGUGUUGGAGUCAUGCCUGGCCGUGCAGUCAUGAGUGAACAGGGAGUACAGGAGGGGACUGAGCACGCACCCCUGAGAGACCCCCGUGUUGAGGAUCAGUGUGGCGGAUGUGAUGCUAGUCCUUUUGAUGCUAGUCCAUGAUACUAGUCCAUGAUACUAGUCCAUAUGAUGCUAGUCCAUGAUGCUAGUCCUUUUGAUGCUAGUCCAUGAUACUAGUCCAUAUGAUGCUAGUCCAUAUGAUGCUAGUCCU